ACGAAGUCGGGUUUCGGUGUGAAGGCAGUUUCGACUGAAAGAGCAAUUACUACAUACAGACACAGCUAUUUAGGAAAAAAAGUUAAGAAAAUGAAAAGAGUGACAGUGCUUCUCGUUUUUGCAUUUCUUUUUUCAAUUGUUUUCGUGAAAGAAAUUGAAUGUUUUGCGGCUGGUGGUGGUGCUUUUGGAAGGAAAAGAAUGUUCACAAAUGAGCAAUUCACAGCCAGAAACGGUUUAAUUCAUGUGUGUGAAACAGUCGGAGGAUUUUGCAAAAAGUACGCAAGAGAGAGGCGAAUGAAGAACUUCUGAAAUCAGAACAACACCAUAUAUAUAAAUACGUAUAUUGAAAUGAAUUAUAAUUUGUAAUAACAACUAGAUUAUAUAAACGAUAUCAAAUUAACAAAAAAAUUAAGAUUGGAGCAAAAGACUUGCAAGUAUAGUAAAUAAAUGAAACGUAUUAAUUAAAUGUAAAACAUGCA
Molecule: long non-coding RNA, 479 nt
Organism: Xenia sp. Carnegie-2017
Lineage: Eukaryota; Metazoa; Cnidaria; Anthozoa; Malacalcyonacea; Xeniidae
Exons: 2
Source: RefSeq, a predicted model, not a curated record